UACAGAGGGUGCGAGCGUUGUCCGGAAUCACUGGGCGUAAAGGGCGCGUAGGCGGCUUGAUAAGCGUGCGGUGAAAGCCCGGGGCUCAACCCCGGGUCGGCCGUGCGAACUGUCGAGCUGGAGCACUGUAGAGGCAGGUGGAAUUCCGGGUGUAGCGGUGGAAUGCGUAGAGAAUCCGGAAGAACACCAGUGGCGAAGGCGGCUCACUGGUCCGGUACUGACGCUGAGGUGCGAAAGCGUGGGGAGCAAACAGG
RNAcentral lists this ribosomal RNA (254 nucleotides) under uncultured bacterium. RNAcentral describes it as "partial 16S ribosomal RNA". It matches the Rfam family "Bacterial small subunit ribosomal RNA", at positions 524 to 776 of the family's 1533-position model. The record is from RNAcentral.